Myripristis murdjan (pinecone soldierfish) is the source of this 77-nucleotide small nucleolar RNA. Ensembl annotates it as small nucleolar RNA MBII-202. Its record names the gene SNORD68. The record is from Ensembl. Lineage: Eukaryota; Metazoa; Chordata; Actinopteri; Holocentriformes; Holocentridae.
UGACAAAUUCUCCGGAAUCUCUGUACCUCCGUGAUGAACUCUUUGAACCCCUUUUCUGAUGACUGCCUGUUCUAGGU